UGGGGAAUAUUGGACAAUGGGGGCAACCCUGAUCCAGCCAUGCCGCGUGAGUGAAGAAGGCCUUAGGGUUGUAAAGCUCUUUCACACGUGAAGAUUAUGACGGUAACGUGAGAAGAAGCCCCGGCUAACUUCGUGCCAGCAGCCGCGGUAAUACGAAGGGGGCUAGCGUUGUUCGGAAUUACUGGGCGUAAAGCGCACGCAGGCGGUUUAUUUAGUUAGGAGUGAAAGCCCCGGGCUUAACCUGGGAAUUGCUUUUAAUACGGAUAGACUAGACUUAUGGAGAGGAUAGCGGAAUUCCGAGUGUAGAGGUGAAAUUCGUAGAUAUUCGGAAGAACACCAGUGGCGAAGGCGGCUAUCUGGCCAUUAAGUGACGCUCAUGUGCGAAAGCGUGGGGAGCAAACAGGAUUAGAUACCCGCGUAGUCC
RNAcentral lists this ribosomal RNA (424 nucleotides) under uncultured bacterium. RNAcentral's name for it is "bacterial SSU rRNA". It matches the Rfam family "Bacterial small subunit ribosomal RNA", at positions 355 to 796 of the family's 1533-position model. The record is from RNAcentral.